This 253-nucleotide ribosomal RNA is filed under the name uncultured prokaryote. RNAcentral's name for it is "partial 16S ribosomal RNA". It matches the Rfam family "Bacterial small subunit ribosomal RNA", at positions 524 to 776 of the family's 1533-position model. The record is from RNAcentral.
UACGUAGGCAGCGAGCGUUGUUCGGAGUUACUGGGCGUAAAGAGUGCGUAGGCGGUUUUCUAAGUUUGGUGUGAAAUCUCCCGGCUUAACUGGGAGGGUGCGCCGAAGACUGGAAGGCUAGAGUAUGGGAGAGGUAAGCGGAAUUCCCGGUGUAGCGGUGAAAUGCGUAGAUAUCAGGAGGAACACCUGCGGUGUAGACGGCUUACUGGACCAUAACUGACGCUGAGGCACGAGAGCGUGGGUAGCAAACAGG